UCCGAUUUGUCACCGGCAGUCUCCCAUGAGUCCCCGUCUUUCACGCUGGCAACAUAGGACAAGGGUUGCGCUCGUUGCGGGACUUAACCCAACAUCUCACGACACGAGCUGACGACAACCAUGCACCACCUGUGUGGGGCCCCGAAGGACACCGUAUCUCUACGGCUUUUCCCUACAUGUCAAGCCCAGGUAAGGUUCUUCGCGUUGCGUCGAAUUAAACCACACGCUCCGCUGCUUGUGCGGGCCCCCGUCAAUUCCUUUGAGUUUUAGCCUUGCGGCCGUAGUCCCCAGGCGGAGCACUUAUCGCGUUAGCUGCGGCACCGAGGGAGUCGACACCCCCCACACCUAGUGCCCAUCGUUUACAGCGUGGACUAC
RNAcentral lists this unclassified non-coding RNA (375 nucleotides) under uncultured bacterium. RNAcentral describes it as "contains 16S-23S intergenic spacer region". The record is from RNAcentral.